CUUGCCAUGAAAUAAGAAUUAGUAGCCAAAAGAAAGAUGAUCAAGACUCUACAUCCUGUUCCACAUACAUAAUUGCAAGCUACCAUUAACGAGAAAUAUUUUUUAUGUGUGUGUAUACUCUAUAUACUAUGAACUGAAUGCAAGCACGGAACAAACUCGAAAGAAAAAUGUUCAAUCAAAACAGAGGGCUGCUUGACUGCAAAUUUGAA
Molecule: long non-coding RNA, 209 nt
Filed under: Citrus x clementina
Lineage: Eukaryota; Viridiplantae; Streptophyta; Magnoliopsida; Sapindales; Rutaceae
Description: Citrus clementina (C. clementina) long non-coding RNA (CCLE_LNC005626)
Source: RNAcentral